GAUGAACGCUGGCGGCGUGCCUAAUACAUGCAAGUCGAGCGAACAGACAAGGAGCUUGCUCCUCUGACGUUAGCGGCGGACGGGUGAGUAACACGUGGAUAACCUACCUAUACGACUGGGAUCACUUCGAGAAACCGGAGCUAAUACCGGAUAACAUGUUGAACCGCAUGGUUCAACAGUGAAAGACGGUCUUGCUGUCCCUUAUAGAUGGAUCCGCGCCGCAUUAGCUAGUUGGUAAGGUAACGGCUUACCAAGGCAACGAUGCGUAGCCGACCUGAGAGGGUGAUCGCCCACACUGGAACUGAGACACGGUCCAGACUCCUACGGGAGGCAGCAGUAGGGAAGCGUCCGCAAUGGGCGAAAUCCUGACGGAGCAACGCCGCGUGAGUGAAGAAGGUCUUCGGAUCGUAAAACUCUGUUAUUAGGGAAGAACAAAUGUGUAAGUAACUAUGCACGUCUUGACGGUACCUAAUCAGAAAGCCACGGCUAACUACGUG
This 497-nucleotide ribosomal RNA is filed under the name uncultured bacterium. RNAcentral's name for it is "partial 16S ribosomal RNA". It matches the Rfam family "Bacterial small subunit ribosomal RNA", at positions 28 to 507 of the family's 1533-position model. The record is from RNAcentral.